This is a long non-coding RNA of Impatiens glandulifera, 290 nucleotides long. RefSeq lists it as uncharacterized. The transcript has 3 exons. The record is from RefSeq and is a predicted model, not a curated record. NCBI's taxonomy places the organism in Eukaryota, Viridiplantae, Streptophyta, Magnoliopsida, Ericales, Balsaminaceae.
UUUUUUUCAGUGGCCACCCAACGGAAGAUAGUAUUAACAUACAAAAAGAUUUGAGACAGAUGCCUCAUAGUCCCAUACUCAAUGUGGUUUACGAAGGCUGGAUGGUUCGACACGGUCGAAGGAAGAUCGGACGGUCGUUUAUUCAUAUGAGGUACUUUGUGCUCGAGACUAAACAACUUUCUUACUACAAGACAAAACCUCAGGGCAAUACGACUCCACUGAAUACCCUUCUAUUAGAUGGGAAUUGCAGGGUUGAGGACAAAGGAUUAAAGACACACAACGGACAUGUG